UUAAUUGAAACCAAAAAUAGGUAUAUUAUUGUUAAUAAUAUUUUUGGAAAUUAUUUUCCCA
Molecule: transfer RNA, 61 nt
Filed under: Schlettererius cinctipes
Lineage: Eukaryota; Metazoa; Arthropoda; Insecta; Hymenoptera; Stephanidae
Description: tRNA-Asn
Source: RNAcentral